UCGAUCAUCAGAAGCUGACCGAGGACAACGCCUACCUACGGGCUCAGGUUGAGUCUCUCGAGGGAAAGGUCCGUCCUCUGGCGGAUGAGACCGAGGAGGAACGCGCCCUUGGUUCGCGCGGUGAGCUGCUAGGGCAUAUUCGGACUCUCAACCAAGAUCUCGUGGCCUGCUUCAAAGAGGGUUUCGACAAUGCUGUCGAGCAGCUCGGGCUUCUGAACCCUGAGUUGGUGACAGAAGGGUCGGCCUAUAACUG
Molecule: long non-coding RNA, 253 nt
Filed under: Lathyrus oleraceus (garden pea)
Lineage: Eukaryota; Viridiplantae; Streptophyta; Magnoliopsida; Fabales; Fabaceae
Description: Pisum sativum (pea) long non-coding RNA (PSAT_LNC020005)
Source: RNAcentral